GCGCAAAUGGUUUAGUGGUAAAAUCCAUCGUUGCCAUCUUCAUGAGUAAAAUCAUAGGAUCCAAUUCGAUGGGCCCCCGGUUCGAUUCCGGGUUUGCGCA
Non-coding RNA from Coniella lustricola, 100 nucleotides. The record is from the annotation of a GenBank genome assembly. Lineage: Eukaryota; Fungi; Ascomycota; Sordariomycetes; Diaporthales; Schizoparmaceae.